This 221-nucleotide unclassified non-coding RNA is filed under the name soil metagenome. RNAcentral's name for it is "partial contains 5.8S ribosomal RNA, internal transcribed spacer 2, and large subunit ribosomal RNA". The record is from RNAcentral.
AACCUAGCACACCUGCGGUGUGUACCUGCGGAGGGAUCAUUAACGAGUUACCACUCUAUAACCCUUUGUGAACAUACCUACAUGUUGCUUCGGCGGUCGGCCCCCCCGGGCCCCCGGCCCCGCUCACGCGGGGCGUCCGCCGGAGGAUAACCAAACUCUGAUUUAACGACGUUUCUUCUGAGUGGCACAAGCAAAUAAUCAAAACUUUUAGCAAUGGAUCU